Molecule: long non-coding RNA, 884 nt
Organism: Stylophora pistillata
Lineage: Eukaryota; Metazoa; Cnidaria; Anthozoa; Scleractinia; Pocilloporidae
Source: RefSeq, a predicted model, not a curated record
AAACAAGGCUCUUUGAUAUGGCGCUCUGUGUAAUCCAUACGGCAUCAAAAGGCGGGCUGGAGAACUCGGGAUUUGAGAAUAAGAUAAAGAUCAGACCAUAUGAUACUGAGAAUGCUGACUCGUCCUUAGUCUUCUCUUAAACAUCGCUGAGGAUGGGAGGAUGGGAAGGACUUGGUAGUGCCAGUCUCCCAAGACCCCACGACCGGGCGUAAAAAACAGGAGAGAGUCAAAAAGGCGGAAGAUAACUCCUUGAGUUUAUCGUUUUCUCCUUCGUGAAGCAUGCCUUAGAGGUUUUGUUGGCUAGAUCGUUACUCCGCAUAAAGGUACGGUCGGAAAUUAAUCCUUCUGCGAUGUCGGAGUGAUUGGCUGCCCGACUACAAACAUCUUGAAUUCUUAACAGGGGACCUUGAGCGUGAUGUUCAACGACUUUGCUUGAAAAUUCCGAAAGCCCAAAACCCUGAGAUGAUUUCUAAGAAGAAUUCAACUUGGUAAAUUAAUAGAAAAACUGAUCAAGUUACGUGGCACUCAAGUGUUCUGAGAGUGAAUAUUUUCCUCUUGCAACGCAUUAAAAUUCGCACUGUGUUGUAAGAGAUAGGAAAACUCAUGUUUAUCAAAACAGGUGUGCGAUCUUUUUCAUCCUGUUUAGAAUUUUGUAAUGCCGCUGAUGAACAUAUAGCUCAUCUUGAUGGUACACGUCACAAUGUUAUAAUGAACAGUUUGUGUUGUUUGCCCUACAUACUAAUAGUAUUUCUGUUAGAAAUUGCGAAUAAGGAGUCGUUGUGGCAAGGUUAGUUUACAUAAAUACGUUUUUUGUGGGACGGAAUAGGAAAAAAUGAGGAGAAAAAAAUAACAACUUAUAUUCGGAAAAAUACUUUGGAUCAAAC